GUGGGACUAAUCAUUUAAGUAGCCCCCAAACUCCGAUUAGAGAAUGUCUGCAGAACUCUUGCCAGAGGAGAUCUGAGAAACUGAAAUAUGGUACCUGCCAAGAACAAGCCUUUUGGCACUGUAGCCACUUCAAGACACUUGGCAAAUUUCAUCAGGUGUCAGCAAUAGAUCUAAACAUAUUAGACUUAAGAGAACAAAGGAGAGAUCUCUGUGGGGCCUAAAAGGAAGCCUGUUGCUAAAUCAGCAAGAGAAAGAAGAACUAGCAUCUACUGAGUGGCAGGCAUCAUACAUCCACGAUUUCACCUGCAUCUCUAGUGCAACCCUUCCAGAUAGGCUUGAUGAUCCCCAUUUUAUAGAUGAGGAAAUUCAGGAUCAGGGAGACUAAAGAGCUUGCCCUGGGAGAGAGCCACAGUCCAUGAUCUUUGGUCUACUGCCUGUUACCAUUAGGUAUAUUCUUGGUUUUCAGUCUCCUAUGAGAAUUUAAAGCAGACAUAAGUUGUUCAUAGAGCCCAACAUCUGGACUUUCCAAUCACCCUCUCGUCACCCUCCUGCUCACCCUAAUUCCUCUUCCUUCAAAUAAUAAAAACAUGAGUUUGCAGUGCCCACAGGAGCUACAACACCAAGAGAUACUUGGACUUAGAGAUAACCCACUUUGUUGCUUUUCUUCUUUCUCCCCAAGUCCUGUUUCUUAGCAAAGGUUGGGUCACCAGUGUCUCAGUCACCAGUGUCCGGCACUGUGCCCAGCACACAGUGGGCUAAUAUGGAUGCUGCUACUGAUAAAUAAUUGAGAAAGAGCUGCAUGUGCCAGGGAGGAGUUAAGGUGGAGAUGGUUCUGAGGACAGAAGAGGAGCCAGUGCUGGCUGAGUCCUCCCAGGCACGCAACCCACAGAGGUUCUGGGAAAGCUGCUGGGCUGUACCAGCUGGCCCCGCCGGCCUCUGUCCACUGACUCACCUGUGUGGAACACGUGACUGGCUCCCAACAGCGCAGGCAGAAUUCCCAGCCUGGCAUCAAAGCUGCUACUAUUGGAGGAGGAAGAGGGUCUUGCUCCCUCCCAUCUGCUGCCUGGGGGCUUCCUAUUGGCUUGUGGUUCCUGUGAGCAUCACCCCAGCAAUGCUUCUUCAUCCUGGCAGUAAAGGUGCCUUCCUGUACCAGCAGCUGAAUCCAGCGUGUUUCUUCUUUGGGAUAUUUGGAGCCAAUCAAGGCAGAGUUGAGUGGCAUUCAGAAGUAUUAUGUGGAAGAAAUAUCAUCGACUACAAUCUACCAAUUGUCACUUUAAAAAUUCCCAAAGAGACCU
This 1295-nucleotide long non-coding RNA is filed under the name Homo sapiens (human). RNAcentral describes it as "non-protein coding lnc-CCDC182-3:1". The record is from RNAcentral. Lineage: Eukaryota; Metazoa; Chordata; Mammalia; Primates; Hominidae.